This is a non-coding RNA of Pelobates cultripes (western spadefoot toad), 527 nucleotides long. NCBI's taxonomy places the organism in Eukaryota, Metazoa, Chordata, Amphibia, Anura, Pelobatidae. The record is from the annotation of a GenBank genome assembly.
AACUCAUACACCUAGUCCUGACAUGUCUGAGGAGAAACACUAUAGGAAUAGGGAAGGUUUUAGUCUGUGUAUGUCAUAACGGCUUCUUAGGAUUAUCUACCUAUCAGGCAGGAAAACACCCACCUUGGGUGCAAACACUUUGUUCCCUAAGGAAUCUAGACUUCUUUUCCUAUUCUGUCAGACAGCAAUGGCAUUACACUCAAGCUAUUUUGGACUCUGGCCCACUGAAACCUUUAUAGUCUCCAAGUUUAUCUACCAAUGUAUCCUUGUCCAAUACAGAGAAACAAUUGGCAUUUGAGGCUAUAUAUGGUAGGCCUGUCUGCAAUACCGUUAGUGUAUUUUUGUGAGUGUUUUGCAUUCAGAAGAAAUCAAUUUUCUUCCUUCUGACCAAUAGUUCUGGGUUUCCUUUGCCAUACUAAACAUAACACCAUCUAUCCUUAGGCUCUAAUCAGUGGAUUCAUGCCCUGAUAAGAGAAGUAGGCAAACUACCAACCCAUCGUCCCUAUGACUGCACUAAUAAUUUCUUC